AAGACUAGAGCUCUUGGAGUCCUAGGGCUGGUUCAAAGCUGGGAACGGUAACUUUGAUUCCUUUUAGAAUAAUCAAAUUCCUUGCAGUUUAUUUUAACAUCUUUUUGUGUCUCUCUCCUGGGCAGGACCCUCCCACCUCCUGACGAGGACGCUAACCAUUCAAAGGAAUGAAUUUCUAAUGGUGGAACUUCAAGUACCUAGUGUGACCAAAGAUGUUUUGGGACAGGAUGUUCUAACCUGUGCUCUUCAAAUGAUUGACUAGGUAGCCUCUCCUACUUUGCCAUCUUGAGAGGUUGGCUCUGCCCUUUGGAACUUCAGAAACAUCUGGCUCAUUGUCUUUCUCGAAGAAAGAGUUUGCUGUCCCUGCUCUGAGCAAUGCAGCACCUUGCUGUAAGGACACGUAUAUGGAGUGUCCUGGGCCUCAGACGGUCCUAUGGAAAGGCCAAUAUGGAGAGGAGCUGAGGCCUCCCACCCAGAGUCAACACAAGCUUGCUAGUCAUGAGGGAACCUGCAGGAAAGUAGAGUCUUCAACUCCAGUUAAGCCUUCAGAAGAUUGCAGCCUUACCUGCCAUCAGCCUGUGUCCUCAUGAGAGACGCUGAGCCAGAACCAUCCAGCUAAAACAAUAGCUGAAGCACAGCCAUAGGAGAUAAUAAAUGACAAUUGU
Long non-coding RNA from Zalophus californianus (California sea lion), 665 nucleotides. RefSeq lists it as uncharacterized. The record is from RefSeq and is a predicted model, not a curated record. Lineage: Eukaryota; Metazoa; Chordata; Mammalia; Carnivora; Otariidae. The transcript has 3 exons.